This 367-nucleotide ribosomal RNA is filed under the name uncultured bacterium. RNAcentral's name for it is "partial 16S ribosomal RNA". It matches the Rfam family "Bacterial small subunit ribosomal RNA", at positions 338 to 722 of the family's 1533-position model. The record is from RNAcentral.
CCUACGGGAGGCAGCAGUAGGGAAUAUUGCUCAAUGGAGGAAACUCUGAAGCAGCAACGCCGCGUGGAGGAUGAAGGUCUUCGGAUUUUAAACUUCUUUUUUUAGAGAAGAUAAUGAUUGCAUGUAUCGAAUAAUCACUGGCUAAUAUCGUUCCAGCAGCCGCGGUUAUACGGCGGGUGCAAGCGUUAUUCGGAUUCACUGGGCGUAAAGAGGGCGUAGGCGGGAUAGCAAGUCAGUUGUGAAAUCCUUCGGCUUAACCGUAGAACUGCAUUUGAAACUGUUAUUCUUGAGUACAGGAGAGGUAGGUGGAAUUCGUGGUGUAGCGGUGAAAUGCGUAGAGAUCAAGAAGAAUACUGAUUGCGAAGGC